UGUUCUCUAGAUAUUAUAUAUUUUGAUAUUUGCCAACAUAUCACACUGGCCCCCAAAAGGCUAAGAUGCUCCCAAAGAUAGCUGCAACCCUUGAAGAAUAUUUACUUUCUCCUCAUAAAGCUGCGGCCCCUUCUUUUAUAUCACCAAAUCCCCUAUGAAUAUGGGGUGACUCUUGCUCAUUGUUGAUUGUUGGUUUAAUUACCUCCACGUCACCUUUCAGAGUUCAAGACUAGUUCAUUGCUGCAACCCUCCUUUAUUUCAUAAGGUUCUCCAUAAAGUAUGGGUGUGUGGGGCAAAUGUCAAUCCCACGUCAAUCACCCUAUAUGUCACGAAUACUAUCAAAUGGUGCAACGCAAUUUUAUUAAGUUGUGAUUCUUUGUUCUAACCCAUGUCCACUCACAAGGACUGCAAAAGGAGUUUGGGACCCCACAAGUCCAGCUAAAGGUUUCUAGUGCCACCUCAUCCUUUUGAGUGAGGAGGUUUUGUUCAAAAAUCUCAAGGAAGAAGCUAAUUUAGGAGUUUCAGACUUCACCAUCCUAGCAUGCAUUGCUACCAUGCUGGCUGCCAUGCUAUCAAGGCUGGCGUAGGGAAUAAAGUGCAGGCCAACCCAUUUUUGUGAUGACCUAACAGUCCAAACGGGAUGUCUAGGAAUCGUAUUGCCGGCGACCAACUUAGAGGCUGGACUUGAGGUUCUUCAUGCUGAGCGAACACAUCUGCAGACACUUGGAGCAGCAGGGGAACUCUACAAAGGAGCUGGAUAUGAAGCUACUCAACCACGGGGGGUUUGUCAUUAUGAGGCAAUGACGGAUCCCUUAUCUUUGUUUAUAUUUUAUUUUUUACAUGCAUCAUUUUCUUGUAUAAUGCAUUAUAGGUAGUCAUUCCCACGGCUUGUGUGGGAGCAUCUCAUUUAACAUUUAUGAAUAAAGAGAAAUGCUUUUUCAAAUAUGCAAUGUUGUAUGGUUC
Molecule: long non-coding RNA, 963 nt
Organism: Cryptomeria japonica (Japanese cedar)
Lineage: Eukaryota; Viridiplantae; Streptophyta; Pinopsida; Cupressales; Cupressaceae
Exons: 2
Source: RefSeq, a predicted model, not a curated record